This 1559-nucleotide long non-coding RNA is filed under the name Monodelphis domestica (gray short-tailed opossum). RNAcentral's name for it is "lncRNA (ENSMODG00000036043.2)". The record is from RNAcentral. Lineage: Eukaryota; Metazoa; Chordata; Mammalia; Didelphimorphia; Didelphidae.
GGCACACAUGACUGCACAGAGUCCGAGGAUUGAACUCUGGCCGCUCUGGACAUUGACCCCUGAGAAAGCCAACCAUGCUAGAUUGGACACUUCCAAGGAGCCUUUAAAGUUGGGGAGCUUAAGUAUCUUUCUAGGUGACCUGGGGGCUUACGGUGAGAGGGACAGUUGAUUGACUUUACAAUGGUAAGAAAGGAAAAUGAGGAGUUCCAGACAGGAAGAACAGUGAGGGGCUGAUGCUUUUCAAAGGAUGCAAAAGGGAAAAACCUAGCCCAGGGUUGGACCACUUAGGUAGAGGACUUUAGCCCAAGGCGAGAAACCCUUGGCACCAGAGAUACUUCACCUCUGAUGAGAUUAGCUAUUGCCACCCAAACUACCAGGAUGUCUAUUGUUAGCCUGAGACCUGGGAAGUAGGACCUUCCCUCAGGGGGAAAACUCUCCCGUGACCAGGUCAAACCUGGGGUUUCUACCUCCCAACUCAAUAAACUGGGGAUCACCAAAUCCCUCCAAGCUACAAGUUUGGGGACUUCCAGAUUCCACGUUGAUAGUGUUCAGGAUCAGAUACCUGCUCUAGAACAGAAGUGUUUGUCCCCAAUGCAGGAACUUGCUAACCUUCCUAAGGCAGAUCAGAGCACUGCGGGCUCAGCGCUGGCUUCCUCUGCAGCUCCAGUCUGGGCAAUCUAGACCUUGCCAGGGUUCAAGGUUUGUGCCUUUUCAGCUCCACAUUCUUCCAUGGACAGGGACCCCCAUGUCCAGCUCCUUACUUGUGAAGCAGGGGGAAUACACUCAAUGGGGCUCUGAGGAUGCCUGGCGCUCUCCAAGGUCUCAUCUUCCCUGAGCUGCCUUUCUGCAGACUGAGAGAGAAGGUCUGAAUGAGUACUAUGCUCUGCAAAUCUGAGACUGUCACCCCAAGCAGAAUACUUGGAAAACUUCUAAUCCCUCUUGUGAGAUUCCUACAGAUACUUCCCUUCUUCAAAGGCCUGUCAGGCUAAACAUUCCAAGUUCUUUAAGGGGCUCCUUGCCAGCACAAGACAGUCACCAGAUCCAGCAGAGCCAAGAAUGUACUAAAAAGCACUUGUCAGCAGCUGUUCCCAGCACUCCUCCCCAGCUCGGCUCAGUGUUUUCUGUUUCAAGAAAGGAGAAGGGCGAACGACUCCGGCUGGAGUGGGUGCUUCAAGUUCUUGGUCAUGAACCCGCUGCUAAUGAUGGGAUCCCCGACUGGAGCUAGAAAGGCUCUUGGAAGUCACCUGAUUUGACUCAUUUUCCAGACAAGAAGCCCAAGGGAUGGACUCGCCUGGCCAGGGCGGCCCUAUCACCCUGAUGGUCCGUGUCACAUCGCAUAUGGGCACAUCAUUAACCAUGUUCUCUCUAACUACUCAGCUUUGAUGAAUACCAAGUUGCUGCCACAAUGGAGUCCUUGCAAUCUCUCCUCCAGGGCAGGCCGUGUUCGGGCUUUUGGUCUUUGUACCCCCCACAUCUACGGGCACACAGCAGAUGCUUCAUAAGUUUUUGUCUAAUUAAAUUCAAAUAAAAAUUCAUGAGGGCUGAUUUGUACCUUUAAG